Molecule: long non-coding RNA, 207 nt
Filed under: Pelusios castaneus (West African mud turtle)
Lineage: Eukaryota; Metazoa; Chordata; Testudines; Pelomedusidae
Description: lncRNA (ENSPCEG00000010645.1)
Source: RNAcentral
GUGGCUUCAGAGACUCCACCCCCAGCCUCCGCGCAGGCGCAGUGUGGGUGUGUGGUGCUGCAGCGGUACCGGACGCGGCAGGAGCCGGCGGAGCCAUGGCGGGGACCCCGCAGGAGAACACGCUGCUGCACCUCUUCGCCGGGGGGCAUUCAUUAAUCACCUUGGUUCCUGCUCUCUGAUGACAAAUCCUGCAAGAUGGGGUAUGGA